GUGCCAGCAGCCGCGGUAAUACGUAGGGUGCAAGCAUUGUCCGGAUUUAUUGGGCGUAAAGAGCUCGUAGGCGGCUUGUCACGUCGGAUGUGAAAACUCGGGGCUCAACCCCGAGCCUGCAUUCGAUACGGGCUAGCUAGAGUGUUGCAGGGGAGACUGGAAUUCCUGGUGUAGCGGUGAAAUGCGCAGAUAUCAGGAGGAACACCGGUGGCGAAGGCGGGUCUCUGGGCAACUACUGACGCUGAGGAGCGAAAGCGUGGGGAGCGAACAGGAUUAGAUACCCUCGUAGUCC
RNAcentral lists this ribosomal RNA (292 nucleotides) under uncultured bacterium. Its description in RNAcentral is "partial 16S ribosomal RNA". It matches the Rfam family "Bacterial small subunit ribosomal RNA", at positions 505 to 796 of the family's 1533-position model. The record is from RNAcentral.